This 570-nucleotide ribosomal RNA is filed under the name uncultured Bifidobacterium sp. RNAcentral describes it as "bacterial SSU rRNA". It matches the Rfam family "Bacterial small subunit ribosomal RNA", at positions 141 to 721 of the family's 1533-position model. The record is from RNAcentral. Lineage: Bacteria; Bacillati; Actinomycetota; Actinomycetes; Bifidobacteriales; Bifidobacteriaceae.
GAAUUCGAUUCUCCUGAAACGGGUGGUAAUGCCGGAUGCUCCAGUCCAUCGCAUGGUGGUCUGGAAAGAUUUCAUCGGUAUGGGAUGGGGUCGCGUCCUAUCAGGUAGUCGGCGGGGUAACGGCCCACCGAGCCUACGACGGGUAGCCGGCCUGAGAGGGCGACCGGCCACAUUGGGACUGAGAUACGGCCCAGACUCCUACGGGAGGCAGCAGUGGGGAAUAUUGCACAAUGGGCGCAAGCCUGAUGCAGCGACGCCGCGUGCGGGAUGACGGCCUUCGGGUUGUAAACCGCUUUUGAUCGGGAGCAAGCCUUCGGGUGAGUGUACCUUUCGAAUAAGCACCGGCUAACUACGUGCCAGCAGCCGCGGUAAUACGUAGGGUGCAAGCGUUAUCCGGAAUUAUUGGGCGUAAAGGGCUCGUAGGCGGUUCGUCGCGUCCGGUGUGAAAGUCCAUCGCUUAACGGUGGAUCCGCGCCGGGUACGGGCGGGCUUGAGUGCGGUAGGGGAGACUGGAAUUCCCGGUGUAACGGUGGAAUGUGUAGAUAUCGGGAAGAACACCAAUCACUAGUG